ACGGGAAAGGGCGGGGCCAGCCCGGGCGAGGGGGGCUGCAGGCGGUUGCCAUGGCGGCGGCGGACUGUGUGCUGAAGCUGGGGGGUAGCGCGCUGACGCACAAGGAGCGGCGCGAGAGCGCGCGGGACGAGGCGCUGCGCGGCGCCGCGCGGCUGGUGCGGGAGCUGCGCGCGGCCGGCGCCGGGCGCUGCAUAGUGGUGCACGGAGCCGGCUCUUUUGGGCAUUUUCAAGCGAAGGCACAUGGUCUGGCUUCGGGGUCACUGACGAACAGUGAACGUCUACGACAGGGGCUGUGCCUGACCAGGAUAUCUGUCACCAAGCUGAACCACAUGGUGACAGAGCAGCUGGUGAUGUGUGGAGUCCCGGCAGUGGGCAUUUCGCCCUUUGGAGCCUGGAGGACAGCAGGCAGGAAAAUCACCCAGGCUGGCAUUGCUACCAUAAGGGACUCCUUGGAAGCAGGAUACAUCCCAGUCCUUCAUGGGGACUGUGUUCUGGACUCGGAGCAGCACUGUAGUAUCUUAUCUGGUGACACAAUCAUUGAGGUUCUGUCCCAUGAAUUCUCACCGAAGCGAGUGGUGUUUCUUACUGAUAUCGAUGGAAUCUAUGAUCGUCCACCUGAUACCCCAGGUGCCACACUGGUGGAUUCCAUUGCUGUCAAUGCUGAUGGAAGCAUAGAACCACCUGUGCUCACAUCUGUACUGCCACAUGAUGUAACUGGAGGGCUGGCCCUGAAGUUACAGACUGCAAUCAACAUAGUUACUCAGAGUAAUGGCUCCAUCCCUGUGCUGAUCUGUAAACUUGAAAGCGAAGUGGCCAAACAAGCCUGUUUAACUGGAGAGCUUAGAACAGCUAAGUUUCAACUACAAAGGCAUCUUGUGAGCAGCAGCUGUUUCUACAAAGCUGGGGAGAAGGGGAGCCGGGAAGAAGCAAUUAUACCAGCAAGUCAC
This 947-nucleotide long non-coding RNA is filed under the name Crocodylus porosus (Australian saltwater crocodile). Its description in RNAcentral is "lncRNA (ENSCPRG00005004665.1)". Lineage: Eukaryota; Metazoa; Chordata; Crocodylia; Crocodylidae. The record is from RNAcentral.